This is a long non-coding RNA of Corythoichthys intestinalis (scribbled pipefish), 294 nucleotides long. RefSeq lists it as uncharacterized. The transcript is spliced from 3 exons. The record is from RefSeq and is a predicted model, not a curated record. Lineage: Eukaryota; Metazoa; Chordata; Actinopteri; Syngnathiformes; Syngnathidae.
CAAAGGUGUUCUAGAAAACUUUUUUCUUCGUUGACAAGAUCAACUGAAAGAAAAAAACAAGGCCAGCAGGCCCAAAUGGACAGCUAUCAAUGAGACACAUUGCACGGGGACUACAUGCUGCCAAGAUCGUGUCAUACACUCAAGCGCGGGCGUAAACUGGAGUUUAAAGGAACAGGUCCCGCUUGGCAAAAGUGGCUCAACAAAAGCGUGUGGUGGCCAAACCAUAAUUAAGAAGUCAGGUGGUUGGCAACAAGUACAACAAUGGUCGUGGGAUAAGAGCGCAAAAAGAACGAC